AUGAAGACCCAAUGUCGAAUCAUCAUGGCAUGUGCACUCUUGCAUAACCUUAUAUUGCAAAAGAUGUCUAUCGACGCACUUGAUAUCAACGAGCCAAUAAUACAAGAAACAUUAGAAGAAAUGGAGGGAGAAUUGGAUCAACCAGAAUUCAUCACUUCUAUCUCAACUUCGAAUGAGUGGACAAAUUUUCGGAAUGAACUUGCUCAGGGCAUGUAUAAUAGACAUAGGGCUUCUAGGGCGCAUUGA
RNAcentral lists this ribosomal RNA (246 nucleotides) under Triticum aestivum (bread wheat). RNAcentral describes it as "partial small subunit ribosomal RNA". The record is from RNAcentral. Lineage: Eukaryota; Viridiplantae; Streptophyta; Magnoliopsida; Poales; Poaceae.